GUGAGGAAUUUUCCGCAAUGGGCGAAAGCCUGACGGAGCAAUGCCGCGUGAAGGAUGAAGGCCUAUGGGUUGUAAACUUCUUUUCUCAGAAAAGAAUUAUGACGGUAUCUGAGGAAUAAGCAUCGGCUAACUCUGUGCCAGCAGCCGCGGUAAGACAGAGGAUGAAAGCGUUAUCCGGAAUGAUUGGGCGUAAAGCGUCUGUAGGUUGUUUAAAAAGUAUUCUGUCAAAGAUUAGGGCUUAACUCUAGAUAGGCAGAAUAAACUUUUAAGCUAGAGUUUGGUAGAGGCAGAGGGAAUUCCGGGUGGAGCGGGGAAAUGCGUAGAUAUCGGGAGGAACACCAAAGGCGAAGGCACUCUGCUGGGCCAAUACUAACACUGAGAGACGAAAGCGAGGGGAGCAAAUGGGAUUAGAAACCCUAGUAGUCC
RNAcentral lists this ribosomal RNA (426 nucleotides) under uncultured bacterium. RNAcentral describes it as "partial 16S ribosomal RNA". It matches the Rfam family "Bacterial small subunit ribosomal RNA", at positions 354 to 796 of the family's 1533-position model. The record is from RNAcentral.